GAAAGAUUAGUUAAUACAUAACAUCAGAAUGUCAAACUGAAGUAAUCAGAAAGAUAUCUUUCU
Molecule: transfer RNA, 63 nt
Filed under: Apicotermes arquieri
Lineage: Eukaryota; Metazoa; Arthropoda; Insecta; Blattodea; Termitidae
Description: tRNA-Asp
Source: RNAcentral